RNAcentral lists this ribosomal RNA (492 nucleotides) under uncultured bacterium. RNAcentral's name for it is "partial 16S ribosomal RNA". It matches the Rfam family "Bacterial small subunit ribosomal RNA", at positions 29 to 507 of the family's 1533-position model. The record is from RNAcentral.
AGCGAACGCUGGCGGUAGGCCUAACACAUGCAAGUCGAACGGCAGCACAGUAAGAGCUUGCUCUUACGGGGGGCGAGUGGCGGACGGGUGAGGAAUACAUCGGAAUCUACGUUUUCGGGGGGGAUAACGUAGGGAAACUUACGCCAAUACCGCAUACGACGCACGGGGGAAAGCAGGGGAACGUCUGAGCUGGCGCGGUUGAAUGAGCCGAUGUCGGAUUAGCUAGUUGGCGGGGUAAAGGCCCACCAAGGCGACGAUCCGUAGCUGGUCUGAGAGGAUGGUCGGCCACACUGGAGCUUGGACACGCUCCUUGCUCCUGCGGGAGGCAGCAGUGGGGUAUAUUGGACAAUGGGCGCAAGCCUGGUCCAGCCAUCCCGCGUGUGUGGAGACGACCUUCCGGUUGUAAAGCCCUUUUGUUGGUAGUGAACAGCAUCCGGUUAUUACCCAGCUGUUCUGACGGUACCCGGUGAAUAAGCACCGGCUAACUUCGUG